UACAGAGGUGGCAAGCGUUGUUCGGAUUCAUUGGGCGUAAAGGGUUCGUAGGUGGCUCGGAAAGUUGGGUGUGAAAUCCCACGGCUUAACCGUGGAACUGCACUCAAAACUCCCGAGCUAGAGUACGAGAGGGGUAAAGGGAAUUCCCGGUGUAAGGGUGAAAUCUGCAGAGAUCGGGAAGAACACCAGUCGCGAAGGCGCUUUACUGGCUCGUAACUGACGCUGAGGGACGAAAGCUAGGGGAGCAAACGGG
RNAcentral lists this ribosomal RNA (253 nucleotides) under uncultured bacterium. RNAcentral describes it as "partial 16S ribosomal RNA". It matches the Rfam family "Bacterial small subunit ribosomal RNA", at positions 524 to 776 of the family's 1533-position model. The record is from RNAcentral.